GAUGAACGCUGGCGGCGUGCCUAAUACAUGCAAGUCGAGCGAACAGAUAAGGAGCUUGCUCCUUUGACGUUAGCGGCGGACGGGUGAGUAACACGUGGGUAACCUACCUAUAAGACUGGAAUAACUCCGGGAAACCGGGGCUAAUGCCGGAUAACAUUUAGAACCGCAUGGUUCUAAAGUGAAAGAUGGUUUUGCUAUCACUUAUAGAUGGACCCGCGCCGUAUUAGCUAGUUGGUAAGGUAACGGCUUACCAAGGCAACGAUACGUAGCCGACCUGAGAGGGUGAUCGGCCACACUGGAACUGGACCACGGUCCAGACUCCUACGAGAGGCAGCAGUAGGGAAUCUUCCGCAAUGGGCGAAAGCCUGACGGAGCAACGCCGCGUGAGUGAUGAAGGUCUUCGGAUCGUAAAACUCUGUUAUUAGGGAAGAACAAAUGUGUAAGUAACUGUGCACGUCUUGACGGUACCUAAUCAGAAAGCCACGGCUAACUACGUG
Molecule: ribosomal RNA, 497 nt
Filed under: uncultured bacterium
Lineage: Bacteria
Description: partial 16S ribosomal RNA
Rfam family: Bacterial small subunit ribosomal RNA
Source: RNAcentral